AAACCACACGAAACCGGCAACAAAACCACGCCUCGUGCCGCGCCCCGGGAGUAGCAACGACUGCGCCGCACCGCACGCGCCCAGAGCCAGGCGGCUGCCCGGCAGCCAAGUCCGCAAAAACUUAGCGCUGCCGGCACGCGCUGGCAAACUCGGCACGGCCGCCGGGCAGCGGGGAAGGAAAAAGACACGCGAGUGUGUAGAAGAGAAACUGCGCGGCUUCGCCCAGGGCAAGGCCUGCCUGCCCCAGCUAGGGACUUCCUAUGACGUGGAGUGACAGUGUCAGGGGACAAGGGAAAACCAACGCACAUCAUCUGUCCGAACCUCUGUUAAGGCUGUGACACCGUCCCCCACACCAUCCUUCUCUCUGAACUGGAAAAAUACAGAUUUGAGGGGUGGACUUGUGUGGUGGAUAAGGAAUUGGUUAGAUGGUCGCUUCCAUACGGCAGCGACCGACAUCUCCCUGUCCAGAUGGAGACCCGAGGCGAGCCGUGUCACUCAGGGGUCCGGACUGGUGCUUUUUAAUACAUUCAUCAAUGACAUAGAGAGAUUGAGCACAUCCUCAGCACAUUUGCAGAUGACACGAAGCUGAGCGGUGCGGUCGACGUGCCAGAAGGAUGGGAUGUUAUCCAAAGAGACCCAGACAAGCUGGAGAGGUGGGCCCGUGCGAGCCUCACGAGGUUCAGAAAGGCCAAGUGCAGGGGACAGCGAUGCCUGGUGCUCUGGGAAAGGAGGCAGCCCUUGGGCUGGAGAUGGCAGGAAGGCACUGGUGCAGCAUCAUGUCUUUAGUAAAAGGAGACCAUUACCCCGAAACCAGACAGAACAGCCGUGCUUGGCCCCAUGCCUGCUGCUGCUGGUUCUCGCAGCAACUGCUGAUCUCUUCCACCUCCCCAAACGACAUCUCCCUUAUCAGCCACCUUGGUGCCUGUGCCAGCCAUAGGCAUUCAUUGCCAUCAUACAGUGAUGUUUAGCAUGUUCAGAUGACAUAAAUUAUUUCCGGAACAUAAACCAGUGGCUUGAUCUUUCUCCCUUGCUACAUUUGUUUUUAGAAGUUGUUUUUCAUUUGUAUUCAGGAGGAAGGAGACGAUUUUGAUCAAAAGCUGUGCUUAUGCAAUCCCAGGAAGGGAUGCGGUUAGAGCUGAUCAUGGAAGGCAUUAACAAAAUCCUCCUCUGACAUUGCCUCCUGUGUCUGAUGGCCAGUGCUCCCUUCAUACCAUGUAUCUGUUUUUAAGCCAUUUGUUUUACUAAAUGUGGAACAGAUCACAGUUGAAUUGAUCUUCUCCUUGGCCCCAGACUUGUGGAGCAGCUCCAUAACUAGCACAUGGAGUGAUAUUCCUGUAAUUUCCAUCAGAUGAAAGUUCUGUCACAACCAUGAAGGCCAUGCUGGUCCCACACAGACAGCAGAAACGACUCUCUGAAGACGUGCUACAGCAGAUCAAAUGCUCGCACCUGUGGCUACCCUGGUGGGCACAGGACCUCUUCAGGACUGAACAGAAAGAUGAGUUCACACCCAAGCCCAGAGGCCCAGCAGAAAUCCGAAAGGCAAACUCCCGAGUGAGCCAUGUCCCGCUGGGGACCCUGAAAGAAUACUGUCCCCAGAGGAAGGUGCUCUUUGCACCAUGAUGUUCUCCCUUCUUCUGCCCAGAACCUGCUGCACUGUGGACUGCCUACAUGUCAUGUUACCUGUUAGCUAUCCUGCUCUCGGUCUGUCUGUGUGUUAUUACAGGGAACAUUUAUUUCAUUAGUCGAACGAGGUGUUGAAGAAGGUGUUGUGACAGCAAGAAUAAACACCGGGAGAUUAGCCCGAAGACGUGGGUGACACACGUCUCUGGAUUGCAAGACCCACUGAGUGCCUCUAGGCAGGCGCUGGGGCAGGAGGAAGCAGGUGGAUAGGGGGAAGCUCAGAGAAAGGGCAAUAGAUCAGAAGCAAAGCACGCUGACAGGACUGUGCGUGGGCUGGAAUAUUCUCUUAUUUUGUGUUUGGAUUUUGGUGUCAAGGCCUGAAACCAAAGGUCAGUGAACAGUAGGGCAGAGAGGUAGCCCUCCCCAGCUUAUGAGUGGGUUGUUUUCCUAGGGGUGAGCCAUGUAUUUUUCUUGAGUUUGUAACUCACGUGGGUUUCCUGAAUGCUGAGCUUGCACUAACUCUGUUUGGGAUGUAAGUAUUUUAAAGAGAGAUCAGUGUGGGCGGGUCAGCCCUCUCCCUUGGGAGGCCGAGUGAGCAGGCUCAGCUGCUGCCUUCUCACAGCCGCUGCUCCACCAGCUCUCCUCAGCCUUUAGAUGCAGACGGGCAUUCACGCAGGGGUUACUAAACCACUCCCCAUUGCCGCAGCUUGUGUGCGAGCAGUGGCCCACGGAAAACCCCCUGUGCUUUCCUCUUGGGGUUUGACUCUGCAUCCCCCAUCUUUGUUCCACACAUGCUUCAAAGAAGCUGCAUACUCAGGUCUUGCAAAUGCACACAGGCACCUCACAUUGGCAUCAUACGCCGGUACAUCGCAAACACCUCGAUUCAAACACCUAAAUGGCAUCACUUGGUGUAGGAACAGGGGCUUGUAUCUGCUACCAGUCUGCCCCAUUACUUUUAUGUGACCCUGAGGUGACAUUGCCACCUGUGCUACCGCAGAAACAGCCACGGUUCACUGGGGAUAAAUGGUGGACGUCACCCUUUUGGUGGAACCAGCUGGCUGGGGAGCUGUUGCUGGGAGGACCCUGUGGUUAUUCACUUUCUUUUUCAUAGGGAUUUUGAUGCAACUUCAGACACAGAA
Molecule: long non-coding RNA, 2759 nt
Organism: Egretta garzetta (little egret)
Lineage: Eukaryota; Metazoa; Chordata; Aves; Pelecaniformes; Ardeidae
Exons: 3
Source: RefSeq, a predicted model, not a curated record